RNAcentral lists this unclassified non-coding RNA (238 nucleotides) under Hevea brasiliensis (rubber tree). Lineage: Eukaryota; Viridiplantae; Streptophyta; Magnoliopsida; Malpighiales; Euphorbiaceae. The record is from RNAcentral.
UCCAUGAAAGAUCUUGGGCCAUGCAAUUCAGGAUCACUUCUCUUAAAGCAGCAGUGGCAUAAGUGGCAAGGGCUCUUGCGACAGUUUUAACUACUGCAGCUACAUCUUCUGGAUCAACUCUGUCACACUCAGGGUGGAAGGCUCCCAUGUGGAAUCCCGUGUAACCUUCUUUAACAGUAUCAACGAGACCACCAGUAGAAGCAACAAUUGGAACUGUUCCAUAUCGCAUAGCAUGCAA